GACGAACGCUGGCGGCGUGCCUAAUACAUGCAAGUCGAACGAGUGGCGGACGGGUGAGUAAUGUCUGGGAAACUGCCCGAUGGAGGGGGAUAAAUACUGGAAACGGUAGCUAAUACCGCAUACCAUCGGAUGUGCACAGAUGGGAUUAGCUAGUAGGUGGGGUAACGGCUCACCUAGGCGCCGAUCCCUAGCUGGUCUGAGAGGAUGACCAGCCACACUGGAACUGAGACACGUUCCAGAUUCCUACGGGAGUCAGCAGUGGGAAAUAUUGCACAAUGGGCGGAAGCCUGAUGCAGCCAUGCCGCGUGUAUGAAGAAGGCCUUCGGGUUGUAAAGUACUUUCAGCGAGGAGGCGUUACUCGCAGAAGAAGCACCGGCUAACUCCGUGCCAGCCGCCGCGGUAAUAC
RNAcentral lists this ribosomal RNA (406 nucleotides) under uncultured bacterium. Its description in RNAcentral is "partial 16S ribosomal RNA". It matches the Rfam family "Bacterial small subunit ribosomal RNA", at positions 28 to 526 of the family's 1533-position model. The record is from RNAcentral.